This 774-nucleotide ribosomal RNA is filed under the name uncultured Neocallimastigales. RNAcentral describes it as "partial large subunit ribosomal RNA". It matches the Rfam family "Eukaryotic large subunit ribosomal RNA", at positions 24 to 642 of the family's 3401-position model. The record is from RNAcentral. Lineage: Eukaryota; Fungi; Neocallimastigomycota; Neocallimastigomycetes; Neocallimastigales.
UAUCUCUGUAGAGUCUGCAUAUCAAUAAGCGGAGGAAAAGAAACUAACAAGGAUUCCCCUAGUAACGGCGAGUGAAGCGGGAAGAGCUCAAAUUUGAAAUCUUCAAGGUUUGACCUUGACGAAUUGUAGUUUAAAGAAGUGUUUUCGGUUAGAGGAGUAGUAAAAGUUCUUUGGAAUAGGACAUCAUAGAGGGUGAGAAUCCCGUAUUUGACUAUUCUUUCUAGCUUUGUGAUACACUUUCAAAGAGUCGGAUUGUUUGGGAAUGCAGUCCAAAAUGGGUGGUAAAUUUCAUCUGAAGCUAAAUAUUGGCGAGAGACCGAUAGCGAACAAGUACCGUGAGGGAAAGAUGAAAAGAACUUUGAAAAGAGAGUUAAACAGUACGUGAAAUUGUCAAAAGGGAAGCGUUUGACACCAGUGUUGUUUUUCCGAAAAUCAAUUAAAAAUUGAUUCAUGCCAGGUUGUAUUGACCUUAUCAGCUUGCAAUUUGGUUUUGGGUCUCUUUUUGAUGCACUUUUCGGUUAACAAGUCAACAUCAAUUUCCUUUGCUGUAAAAAGGUAAGAGGAAGGUGGCUUCAAUUUCGGUUGAAGUGUUUAUAGCCUUUUAUCUCUGCAGUCGGGGAGAUUGAGGUCUGCAGCGUAGAUCCUUCGGGGCUAGAUACAUUUAUGCUAAGUUAUAGCUUUUCAUAGACAACUUGUUGACUAUGUUUAGUCAUGUAGCUUACUCGUAAGUGCUAUUUUACCUACGCUUAGGAUGUUGAAGACUCUACAGAGAUA